Molecule: long non-coding RNA, 383 nt
Filed under: Musa acuminata (dwarf banana)
Lineage: Eukaryota; Viridiplantae; Streptophyta; Magnoliopsida; Zingiberales; Musaceae
Description: long non-coding RNA (MACU_LNC000551)
Source: RNAcentral
CGUCGAUCAUCCGAUGAACCCUCGGUGAUGCUCCUGCGGACUUCCGGCAAACUCCUGGACUUGCGAUGAUCCACUUGGCGAGUUCCGACGAGCUUCUUUGGCAAGCUCAUGGACUUCUCGGAUUUGUUCCCGCAGAACCUCCGACGACUGUCCGAACUUCCGUUGAACUCUCGAACUCCCAACGUGAUCAUUGUCUUGACUCCGGCGCAACUCCUACUGCAUGUCUUACUUUCAUCGUAGUUAAUCCUGCACACUUAAAACAAAACUUCGAUCGAGACAAUUAAUCCUAAGCAAUUAACCAAGUUGUCCGGCAUGUCAUUGGUCCCUCGACGCUUCGUCCGAUUCUUCGGUGCAUCGUCCUCUCCUGCAGCCUAUUGCCCAUA